RNAcentral lists this ribosomal RNA (253 nucleotides) under uncultured bacterium. RNAcentral describes it as "partial 16S ribosomal RNA". It matches the Rfam family "Bacterial small subunit ribosomal RNA", at positions 524 to 776 of the family's 1533-position model. The record is from RNAcentral.
UACGGCGGGGGCUAGCGUUGUUCGGAAUUACUGGGCGUAAAGCGCACGUAGGCGGCUUUGUAAGUUGGAGGUGAAAGCCCGGGGCUCAACUCCGGAAUUGCCUUUAAGACUGCAUCGCUCGAAUUGUGGAGAGGUAAGUGGAAUUCCGAGUGUAGAGGUGAAAUGCGUAGAGAUCCGGAGGAACACCAAAGGCGAAGGCAGUGUCCUGGGGAGUACCUGACGCUCAGGUGCGAAAGCCAGGGGAGCGAACGGG